CACCAUCCUCCAAAGCUGUUGUCGAUAAACUCAGUUCUUUAUCCCUCCAAGGCAACGAAGUUCUUGCAGUUUAUGAUUUUGAGAAACUUUAUCCAGCACUCAAGAUUUCCCCCCACCUGCCUGCAGUUAUACCGGUUCUUCUUAGAAAACACGCCCCAAGAAAACUAUAACCCAGCCUUAUAUAGGGACAUAGCGGAUAUCCUUUGCAAUUGGUCAUACUAUGAGUUCAGGAAUGGCUUCUACAAACAGACCGAAGGCGUCCCUAUAGGUAGCCAGCCAUCUUGCGGGAGUAUUGGUGGAGCUAAUCCUAAGGAGAAUGG
This 320-nucleotide long non-coding RNA is filed under the name Androctonus crassicauda. Lineage: Eukaryota; Metazoa; Arthropoda; Arachnida; Scorpiones; Buthidae. The record is from RNAcentral.